GAAAUAACUGGGGNGGUAAAANGCCCCCGUGGAAGGGCCGGCCCCGGGCCGCUUUUCGGGGUUGUUAAAAAGACCCCCCGGGCUUCAACCCGGGGGGGGGUGGCCCCCCCGAAUUACGGCCCGAAGCUUGAAGGGGCCAGGAGAAGGGCAGCCGGAAUUUCCCCGGGUGUAAGCGGUGAAAAAUGGUUAGAUAUUCGGGAAGAACACCCAGUGGCGAAGGCGGCUGCCUGCCCUGCCCCUGACGCUGGAGCGCGAAAGCGUGGGGAGCGAACGGGAUUAGAUACCCCGGUAGUCCACGCCGUAAACGAUGGGCACUAGGUGUGGGAGGUAUCGACCCCUUCCGUGCCGGAGCUAACGCACUAAGUGCCCCGCCUGGGGAGUACGGCCGCAAGGCUGAAACUCAAAGGAAUUGACGGGGGCCCGCACAAGCAGUGGAGCAUGUGGUUUAAUUCGACGCAACGCGAAGAACCUUACCAGGGCUUGACAUGCGCUGGAAGGCCCCGGAAACGGGGCGUCCCUUCGGGGCUGGCGCACAGGUGCUGCAUGGUUGUCGUCAGCUCGUGUCGUGAGAUGUUGGGUUAAGUCCCGCAACGAGCGCAACCCCUGUCCCGUGUUACCAGCGUGAAGGCGGGGACUCACGGGAGACUGCCGGUGACAAACCGGAGGAAGGUGGGGAUGACGUCAAAUCAUCAUGGCCCUGAUGCCCUGAGCUACACACGUGCUACAAUGGCCGGUACAGAGGGUUGCGAACCCGCGAGGGGGAGCCAAUCCCGGAAAGCCGGUCCCAGUUCGGAUCGGAGGCUGCAACCCGCCUCCGUGAAGGCGGAAUUGCUAGUAAUCGCGGAUCAGAACGCCGCGGUGAAUACGUUCCCGGGCCUUGUACACACCGCCCGUCACACCACGAAAGUCGGCAACACCCGAAGCCGGUGACCGAACCCGCGAGGGACGGAGCCGUCGAAGGUGGGGCCGAUGAUUGGGGUGAAGUCGUAACAAGGUAAC
RNAcentral lists this ribosomal RNA (999 nucleotides) under uncultured Clostridium sp. RNAcentral describes it as "bacterial SSU rRNA". It matches the Rfam family "Bacterial small subunit ribosomal RNA", at positions 547 to 1500 of the family's 1533-position model. Lineage: Bacteria; Bacillati; Bacillota; Clostridia; Eubacteriales; Clostridiaceae. The record is from RNAcentral.